This 245-nucleotide ribosomal RNA is filed under the name uncultured Ancylobacter sp. Its description in RNAcentral is "partial 16S ribosomal RNA". It matches the Rfam family "Bacterial small subunit ribosomal RNA", at positions 524 to 768 of the family's 1533-position model. The record is from RNAcentral. Lineage: Bacteria; Pseudomonadati; Pseudomonadota; Alphaproteobacteria; Hyphomicrobiales; Xanthobacteraceae.
UACGAAGGGGGCUAGCGUUGCUCGGAAUCACUGGGCGUAAAGCGCACGUAGGCGGACUCUUAAGUCAGAGGUGAAAUCCUGGAGCUCAACUCCAGAACUGCCUUUGAUACUGAGAGCCUUGAGUCCGGAAGAGGUAAGUGGAACUGCGAGUGUAGAGGUGAAAUUCGUAGAUAUUCGCAAGAACACCAGUGGCGAAGGCGGCUUACUGGUCCGGUACUGACGCUGAGGUGCGAAAGCGUGGGGAG